UGGGGAAUAUUGCACAAUGGGCGAAAGCCUGAUGCAGCGACGCCGCGUGAGGGAUGACGGCCUUCGGGUUGUAAACCUCUUUCAGUAGGGACGAAGCGCAAGUGACGGUACCUGCAGAAGAAGCACCGGCUAACUACGUGCCAGCAGCCGCGGUAAUACGUAGGGUGCGAGCGUUGUCCGGAAUUACUGGGCGUAAAGAGCUCGUAGGCGGUUUGUCACGUCGUCUGUGAAAUCCUAGGGCUUAACCCUGGACGUGCAGGCGAUACGGGCUGACUUGAGUACUACAGGGGAGACUGGAAUUUCUGGUGUAGCGGUGGAAUGCACAGAGAUCAGGAAGAACACCGAUGGCGAAGGCAGGUCUCUGGGUAGUAACUGACGCUGAGGAGCGAAAGCAUGGGUAGCGAACAGG
RNAcentral lists this ribosomal RNA (409 nucleotides) under bacterium. Its description in RNAcentral is "partial 16S ribosomal RNA". It matches the Rfam family "Bacterial small subunit ribosomal RNA", at positions 355 to 776 of the family's 1533-position model. The record is from RNAcentral.